AGGUCUGAGGAACGGAGCUCCCGGAAGUAAAGGCAUUGCCUCACAUUUGAGUGCAUGAGGAGAAGUAAGGAAGAUUCUAUCACACUCUUGCUGUCAAUGGUUACAAGCCAUAGCUCAGAGUGAGUAUAUGUCCCAGGGGCCACCUCCUGUCCUUCAGGCUGCAUGGUUCCAGCCAAGACAGGAAAGGGUAGUUAGCCUUCACAAACCCAAGUGGAAACUAUGUAUAAGUAUCUAUGUCAGUCACUUCUCUUGUUUCUUCCAUGAGACACCUGGCAACAGUACUUAAGGAAGGAAAGGUUUGCACUGGCCCGCAGUCUGAAGGAGGACAGAGGACACAAGGCAAUGAGAGCAGCUCUAGGUGUAGCCGUGGGAGCCCGAUAUAGCUGGACGCGCUGCAUCUGAAGCAUGACUUCAGGAUUUGUGGUCAGAAGCACGAGGUGGAGAAGUCCUGAUACAAUCUUUGUACUGUACGGUUGCCGUCUGGACUUCAUUGACUAUCCCGGAGCGAUCCAGCACAAGUGACAAGUGAAGACCUUGGCUGUGUUUCAGAAGCACAAUUACAACUCUUGGGGUAAAGAGCCUCAGCGACAAGGCCCAGGAAAGCAGGUGUAUUGAGAAUUAGAGGUAGUCACAGGGGAUGAAACAUAAAAUCAACGUGCCAGAGGUUGACCUGGGCUCUUCCACCCUCACUGUGAUCUUCAGUUUCGCUGCGUGCACUCAAGGCACAAACCUGGGAUUUGAGAUUUCAAGCUGUGUCUGUAAACUUAUUUUCAGAGACUCGGAGCGGGCCCCAGAGGAGAGGUAGGGAGUGGUCCUGGCAGCUGUUGGAUGAAGCAGGAUUCAUCAUGUUUGAAAGAUUCUUCUCGGGGUGUUAUACCCCAAGAGACUGUUGUUCACCGAGUGGAAUACAGCAUCCAAGACCCUAUGAGGGCCUGAGACUCUCAGAGGAAAUUUCUUAUAACACGAUAUUUUUCUCCCAGUUCCCCCAGUAAAGCUUCGCUACUCAAAUGAUCGUUAGCUUGAGAGACCCUGUAGAGCAGGCCUUACCACCUCUGCAAACAGACUCAAAAGGUUAAGAUGGUGCUUGAGAGCCAGACGGCCAAGGGUCUGCAUUUGUUUGUCUGAUUUACUUUUGUUUUUGUUUAUGUUAAGUAAGAGAAGAAGUGAUAUCAUGUCUAGUUAUGAUAGCUGAUGGUACGUACAGAUUUUCUCAGUGUGUGAAUAUGAUUGACUUUGGGACAAAAGUACCAUUUUGGGUCGGGGAGUUUGUUCUGAGCUCAGGGUGUUCUCAAACUUGUGACCCUUCUGCCUCAAACUGCUGGGUGCCCAAUGACAGGGACCCACUAAUCCUGUGUCUCAAUGACUUUUUAAAAAUAGAGCUGCAGGACGAUAAAACAGGGGAAUGCACUUUCUCCCGAGCCCUGACAACCAGAAUCCCACCCCUGGAAGCUACAUAGCAGAGGAAAGCACUGACUCUGUGCUUGUCCUGCCACACAUACACACACACACACACACACACACACACACACACACACACACACACACACACCAAAUAAAUAAAUGUUAAAGUUUUCUUAUUUAAAAUAUACCAUUCUGAAAAAAAAUGAGUAAAACCUAAUUUACUUUAGUUAGCAGAAUGCAAAAGUCCAGGCUACAUUUUGUCACGUAAAAUGUAACUAAACUCACCCCUACCACAUCCCUCUGUGUAAAAAUGCAGGAUGUGCUUAGAGUUGAGUAAUAGUCAUUGGAAAAUAAUUUUCUGGCAAAGGUACAAACUAUGUGUGGUUCCCAUAGAAUUAAACAAAAAUAGAUCUGGUUUGAAAUAACAAUAAAAUCCCCCAGGGUCUGACUAAUAGAAGAUGGCUGGCACAGCUUGAAUUCCAUUGGAAAGACUAAAAUUUUAAAGCACAGUCACAGAAUAGAGUCAUUUAUCAUCCUUUGAACUAGGGCAGCCAUCUUGGAAAUACCCUGGUGCCUGGGACUUCAGAUAGGAACCGGAAAUCUGCGGCCAACAAGUUCAAACAAAAACCAAAAGUGGUUUCUUUUGUAUCGUGGUACUUUAAAACAUUGAAAGUGGCCUGGCCGGAUACCAGUGGGCAUUAUGAUGCUCACACAUGAAUUAUCUUUAAAAUAGAUCCUGUGUACUAACAUCUCUAGAACAUUAAUUGAAAAGUGUUUCUUGCUACUAGAUCCUAAAAUAAGAAUAUGAUCAGAAUAUAUUGCUCUUUAAGCUUUCUCAAACGAGGAUGAACAUGAUCAUGUGAGAUUUUUAAUUUGCCUUUGUGUACAAUAAACACAGCCUAUUCCCA
Molecule: long non-coding RNA, 2309 nt
Filed under: Mus musculus (house mouse)
Lineage: Eukaryota; Metazoa; Chordata; Mammalia; Rodentia; Muridae
Description: predicted gene, 33111
Source: RNAcentral